CCUACGGGAGGCAGCAGUGAGGAAUAUUGGUCAAUGGCCGUAAGGCUGAACCAGCCAAGUCGCGUGAAGGAAGAAGGAUCUAUGGUUUGUAAACUUCUUUUAUAGGGGAAUAAAGGUAUCCACGUGUGGAUAUUUGCAUGUACCCUAUGAAUAAGCAUCGGCUAACUCCGUGCCAGCAGCCGCGGUAAUACGGAGGAUGCGAGCGUUAUCCGGAUUUAUUGGGUUUAAAGGGUGCGUAGGUUGUUGUUUAAGUCAGCGGUGAAAGUUUGUGGCUGAACCACAAGAUUGCCGUUGAAACGGGAAGACUUGAGGGCGUAUGAGGUAGGCGGAAUGCGUGGUGUAGCGGUGAAAUGCAUAGAUAUCACGCAGAACACCGAUUGCGAAGGAAGCUUACUAAGCCACAACUGACGCUGAGGCACGAAAGCGUGGGGAUCAAACAGGAUUAGAUACCCGAGUAGUC
RNAcentral lists this ribosomal RNA (460 nucleotides) under uncultured bacterium. Its description in RNAcentral is "partial 16S ribosomal RNA". It matches the Rfam family "Bacterial small subunit ribosomal RNA", at positions 338 to 795 of the family's 1533-position model. The record is from RNAcentral.